AAUAAUUAAUGUGGAAAAUGAUAUGGACUCGGGCCGGCGACCGUGGAGCUGGGAACUGGGAAGGAUAAAGUGCUUUCUGUGGAGCAUUUUCUGUCCUCAGCGAGCUUCUCAUGGCGAUGAAAACCACCGUUUCUCCGCUUACUGAUUUCCAUUUCAACAUCCACUCGCCAAAAAUUCAACCAAUAUCUCUGAAUUCGAGCUACGCCUUGCCCCUGCCCUUCUCAGUUCGUUGUAAUCAAAACCUCCCCCUUCAUUUGCGCCGACGAUUUCUGCACUCUUCUGCCAUUCAGCGCCGUCGAUCUCUGCCGUCGACUUGUCUCGUAUCAGACGGAACUGCAUACAAUGUGGAGGCAAAGGCCACUACCGAUGAUCUGUCUCUUGAAGUGAAGAAGAAAGCAAUGGAUGUAGCUCCUGAAUUGAAAGGAACUUCCAUCUUUCUUGUGGGGAUCAACAGCUCCCUAAAAACUAAGUUGGGGAAACUCCUUGCUGAUAUGUUGAGAUAUUAUUACUUUGACAGUGAUGGUUUGGUUGUGGAAGCUAGUGGUGGUGUGGCUGCUGCCAAACUUUAUAAGGAGAGUGAUGAAAAUGGUUUUCGGGCAUCUGAGACUGAAGUGUUAAAACAAUUAUCUUCAAUGGGUCGACUAGUUGUAUGUGCUGGAAAUGGUGCUGUUCGGAGCUCUACUAAUCUGGCGCUUUUGAGGCAUGGCAUAACGUUAUGGAUUGAUAUACCCCUACAGAUAAUAGCAGAGGAAUUUGCUGAAGAUCGUGGGCAACUUCCAGUAUUUGAUAUAUCUACUUCUGGAUCUUAUUCAGAGGUGCUGGGUCAAAUAACUUCCCUAUACCAAGAAAUUAAAGUAGGAUAUGCCACGGCUGAUGCUUCAAUCUCACUCCAAAAACUAGCAAGUACAUUAGGAUACGAUGACUUCAAUGCUGUUACAACCGAAGACAUGGCUUUGGAGGCUCUGAAGGAGAUAGAAAAGCUGAUAAGAAUGAAGAAGAUGAUGGAAGCAGCAGCAAAACCUUUUUAAUAAAAAAUGCAGCUCGUCUUCUAUGGUGUUCAUAUAAAACGAUCAAGAGCCCUAAUCAGGUACAAGAAGAGUCGGACCCCAAAUCAAAGACGAAAUUGCGGACACUAUAAGAUGAAGACAAAGCACAUAAAUAGGCCAUGAGAGAGCCAUUUGCAUUAAAAGAAGCCAAACGGACUGUGGAAAGGCCAGGCGGCGGCAGCUUUUUGUUGCGUGAAAAAGAAAGAGGAGCAGUAUAAUGGAUAGACAAAGGCAUUAUUAGGGCACAGCCACAGCCACAGCCACAGCUUUUGAACUUACUUACGGGUUAGGACAUGUCAAAUAUCACAAGUGGAUGACAUUGUCUUGCUCCUUGUCACAUGUCCAUACAUCAUGGUGGAAAAUUAUUAACCUUGUAUUCAAUACUCGUGAGCUUCAACCCGGAGUUAUAGUAUAAAUGUCGAUCCAAAUUCUAGUUGGUUGACUUAUUCGAAAGUGAGAGUAAAUGACGUACAAUUGUACUGCGAG
Cucurbita pepo subsp. pepo (vegetable marrow) is the source of this 1532-nucleotide RNA transcript. It is a transcript of the gene named shikimate kinase like 1, with no coding region annotated. The record is from RefSeq and is a predicted model, not a curated record. NCBI's taxonomy places the organism in Eukaryota, Viridiplantae, Streptophyta, Magnoliopsida, Cucurbitales, Cucurbitaceae.